CCCAGGUGUGUUUCCUAAGGACCAGGUCUGC
RNAcentral lists this non-coding RNA (31 nucleotides) under Homo sapiens (human). Lineage: Eukaryota; Metazoa; Chordata; Mammalia; Primates; Hominidae. The record is from RNAcentral.